ACGUAGGUGGCAAGCGUUAUCCGGAAUUACUGGGCGUAAAGCGCACGCAGGCGGUCUUUUAAGUUUGACGUGAAAGCUCCCGGCUUAACUGGGAGAGGUCGUUGAAUACUGGAAGACUUGAGGAAAUGAGAGGGGUGUAGAAUUCCUGGUGUAGUGGUGGAAUGCGUAGAUAUCAGGAGGAAUACCAGUGGCGAAAGCGGCGCUCUGGGCCGGAACUGACGCUGAGGAGCGAAAGCGUGGGUAGCAAACAGGA
RNAcentral lists this ribosomal RNA (253 nucleotides) under uncultured prokaryote. RNAcentral's name for it is "partial 16S ribosomal RNA". It matches the Rfam family "Bacterial small subunit ribosomal RNA", at positions 525 to 777 of the family's 1533-position model. The record is from RNAcentral.